Molecule: transfer RNA, 92 nt
Filed under: Aureobasidium namibiae CBS 147.97
Lineage: Eukaryota; Fungi; Ascomycota; Dothideomycetes; Dothideales; Saccotheciaceae
Rfam family: tRNA
About the family: Transfer RNA (tRNA) molecules are approximately 80 nucleotides in length.
Source: Rfam by way of RNAcentral
GGCGAGAUGGCCGAGCGGUCUAAGGCGCCAGCUUAAGGUUAAUUCCAAAUCGCUGGUCCGAAAGGGCGUGGGUUCAAAUCCCACUCUCGUCA